CUAAUUAGUCAACCAUGGAGAUAUUUUGCUGGUCAGUUAGCCACUUAUCUAUGAAUUACCAAUGGGGUUCAGAAUUCGCAUCUUAUGAAGAUCUCGCGACAAAUAAAUGGUUAAGCAUAGGGCACUCUGGAUCUUUUCGCAGCUCAUGUGAUUCUCUGGACUAAACUAGAUGCUCUUUGGACUUAUUCACAUCUACAGCUUACAAUAGGAUUUUAUUUCAGCCGCGUAGGUAAGGAUUCGAAAAAAAUCUUUAGCUAUACUAUAUUUUUCACAGGUUUGUUGUGAAGAAAGCUCUUUGCAAGCCUAAAAGUGCUACAUGAAUGUUAGUUGCUGUUGCUAUUAGAGUCAUAGUAUGACAUCUUGGAAAAAGCACUGGACUUGGAGUCAGGAAAACUAUGAGUCUGCAUAGGCCCAGUAUUUCUGAAUAUUGCAUCACCAUUCAGCAACUAUUGGCACAAUGACUGUGCCAAUUAACACAAAUUCUUGAGGAAAUUUUCUGCUUGUUUAUACUAAAUAGUGGAAAAAGUGCUUGAAGGAGAGUUUGAAGACCUACCAUUAAAUCCUUCCAUCUUGGGCAAGUCACUUACUCUAUGCCUUAGUCAUUUCAUCUGUGAAACGGGGAUAACAAUACUUGGCAACUUCCUGCACAGGGACAUUGUAAGGAAAGUGUUUUGUUUUGAUUUGGUUUUAUUGUCCCCCUCUUUAAAGCUUUGGGUGCUGUAGAAAGGAAAUGGCCAAUGUUUCAGAAUCACACAGAAGCUAAUAUUUUGGAAGUAGCAAGCUAUUACGUAUUCAUAUCCUUUGACUCAGAGAUUUCAUUUUAAGGCAUAGCCCAAGGGGAUCAAUGACAAAAGGAAAGGCUCCAUAUACACCAAAAUAUUUGGACUACUUUUUGUGGUGGCAAAGAACUGGAAAUAAAAUUGAUGUCCAUCCUGUG
Non-coding RNA from Phascolarctos cinereus (koala), 937 nucleotides. The record is from RefSeq and is a predicted model, not a curated record. NCBI's taxonomy places the organism in Eukaryota, Metazoa, Chordata, Mammalia, Diprotodontia, Phascolarctidae.